Molecule: ribosomal RNA, 490 nt
Filed under: uncultured bacterium
Lineage: Bacteria
Description: partial 16S ribosomal RNA
Rfam family: Bacterial small subunit ribosomal RNA
Source: RNAcentral
AUUGAACGCUGGCGGCAGGCCUAACACAUGCAAGUCGAACGGUAACAGGAAGAAGCUUGCUUCUUUGCUGACGAGUGGCGGACGGGUGAGUAAUGUCUGGGAAACUGCCUGAUGGAGGGGGAUAACUACUGGAAACGGUAGCUAAUACCGCAUAACGUCGCAAGACCAAAGAGGGGGACCUUCGGGCCUCUUGCCAUCGGAUGUGCCCAGAUGGGAUUAGCUAGUAGGUGGGGUAACGGCUCACCUAGGCGACGAUCCCUAGCUGGUCUGAGAGGAUGACCAGCCACACUGGAACUGAGACACGGUCCAGACUCCUACGGGAGGCAGCAGUGGGGAAUAUUGCACAAUGGGCGCAAGCCUGAUGCAGCCAUGCCGCGUGUAUGAAGAAGGCCUUCGGGUUGUAAAGUACUUUCAGCGGGGAGGAAGGGAGUAAAGUUAAUACCUUUGCUUAUUGACGUUACCCGCAGAAGAAGCACCGGCUAACUCCGUG